UUCGGCGCUCAGUGGCGAACGGGUGAGUAGCACAUGGGCAACCUGCCCUUCAGAGGGGGACAACAGCUGGAAACGGCUGCUAAGACCGCAUAGGCGCGGACGGGACAUCCCGUCCACGUUAAACGUCCUUUCGGGGACGGCUGAAGGAUGGGCCUGUGGCGCAUUAGCUUGUUGGCGGGGCAACGGCCCACCAAGGCGACGAUGCGUAGCCGGCCUGAGAGGGCGGACGGCCACACUGGGACUGAGACACGGCCCAGACUCCUACGGGAGGCAGCAGUAGGGAAUUUUCGGCAAUGGGGGGAACCCUGACCGAGCAACGCCGCGUGAACGAGGAAGGCCUUCGGGUCGUAAAGUUCUGUUGCGAAGGAAGAACGCCGGAGGGAGGAAAUGACCUCCGGGUGACGGUACUUCGCGAGAAAGCCACGGCUAACUACGUGCCAGCAGCCGCGGUAAUACGUAGGUGGCGAGCGUUAUCCGGAAUCAUUGGGCGUAAAGAGGGAGCAGGCGGCCGUGAGGGUCUGUGGUAAAAGACUGAAGCUCAACUUCAGUGAGCCAUGGAAACCGGACGGCUGGAGUGCGGCAGAGGAUCGUGGAAUUCCAUGUGUAGCGGUGAAAUGCGUAGAUAUAUGGAGGAACACCAGUGGCGAAGGCGACGGUCUGGGCCUGCACUGACGCUCAUUCC
Molecule: ribosomal RNA, 682 nt
Filed under: Sharpea azabuensis
Lineage: Bacteria; Bacillati; Bacillota; Erysipelotrichia; Erysipelotrichales; Coprobacillaceae
Description: bacterial SSU rRNA
Rfam family: Bacterial small subunit ribosomal RNA
Source: RNAcentral